UGCAGCCGUCGCUGAGCGGCGUGAAGCGGUUGCAGGCCAUGGUGGCGGAACGCGUGGGCGUCGCGCCGUACCAGAUCUCGGCGUCCCUAGCACGGCCCCUCCGCGCACGCGCCGCAUGCCCCUCGACGACGCCACCGACCUCGCCGCCGCCUCACUAGGCGCGACCAGUCUUCCCCUUCUAGGAGCGGGUGCGAGUCUCUGCGCCGCCGACCUGCUUGCCAUGGGCUUCCUCUCCCUCUUCGUCGGUCACACGCUCGCGACGGCGCCGCUCCCUAGGUCGGCGCGACCCCCAUGUCCGCGUGCCAGCCACCAGCAGCGGCGCUUCUCCCCGCUCGCCGGCGAGUCCUGCCUGUGCACCCCCAGCAGCCAGGCCGCCGGCUCUCCCUCCCUCGCGGCCCUUCUCCGCAGCCGCGACCC
Molecule: unclassified non-coding RNA, 417 nt
Filed under: Zea mays
Lineage: Eukaryota; Viridiplantae; Streptophyta; Magnoliopsida; Poales; Poaceae
Description: misc RNA Zm00001eb105380
Source: RNAcentral